CGUGGGUAACCUGCCUUAUAGUGGGGGAUAGCCUUUCGAAAGGAAGAUUAAUACCGCAUAAGAUUGUAGUAUCGCAUGAUAUAGCAAUUAAAGGAGCAAUUCGCUAUAAAAUGGACCCGCGUCGCAUUAGCUAGUUGGUGAGGUAAUGGCUCACCAAGGCGACGAUGCGUAGCCGACCUGAGAGGGUGAUCGGCCACAUUGGGACUGAGACACGGCCCAGACUCCUACGGGAGGCAGCAUG
Molecule: ribosomal RNA, 241 nt
Filed under: uncultured bacterium
Lineage: Bacteria
Description: partial 16S ribosomal RNA
Rfam family: Bacterial small subunit ribosomal RNA
Source: RNAcentral